UGGGGAAUAUUGGACAAUGGGCGCAAGCCUGAUCCAGCCAUGCCGCGUGAGUGAUGACGGCCCUAGGGUUGUAAAGCUCUUUCAGUGGUGAAGAUAAUGACGGUAACCACAGAAGAAGCCCCGGCUAACUCCGUGCCAGCAGCCGCGGUAAUACGGAGGGGGCAAGCGUUGUUCGGAAUUACUGGGCGUAAAGCGCGCGUAGGCGGGUCUUUAAGUCAGAGGUGAAAUCCUGGAGCUCAACUCCAGAACUGCCUUUGAUACUGGAGAUCUUGAGUCCGGAAGAGGUUAGUGGAAUUCCCAGUGUAGAGGUGAAAUUCGUAGAUAUUGGGAAGAACACCAGUGGCGAAGGCGGCUAACUGGUCCGGUACUGACGCUGAGGUGCGAAAGCGUGGGGAGCAAACAGGAUUAGAUACCCCCGUAGUCC
RNAcentral lists this ribosomal RNA (424 nucleotides) under uncultured prokaryote. Its description in RNAcentral is "bacterial SSU rRNA". It matches the Rfam family "Bacterial small subunit ribosomal RNA", at positions 355 to 796 of the family's 1533-position model. The record is from RNAcentral.